UUUAUCGGAGAGUUUGAUCCUGGCUCAGGACGAACGCUGGCGGCGUGCCUAAUACAUGCAAGUCGAGCGGACAGAUGGGAGCUUGCUCCCUGAUGUUAGCGGCGGACGGGUGAGUAACACGUGGGUAACCUGCCUGUAAGACUGGGAUAACUCCGGGAAACCGGGGCUAAUACCGGAUGGUUGUUUGAACCGCAUGGUUCAGACAUAAAAGGUGGCUUCGGCUACCACUUACAGAUGGACCCGCGGCGCAUUAGCUAGUUGGUGAGGUAACGGCUCACCAAGGCAACGAUGCGUAGCCGACCUGAGAGGGUGAUCGGCCACACUGGGACUGAGACACGGCCCAGACUCCUACGGGAGGCAGC
Molecule: ribosomal RNA, 362 nt
Filed under: Bacillus velezensis
Lineage: Bacteria; Bacillati; Bacillota; Bacilli; Caryophanales; Bacillaceae
Description: bacterial SSU rRNA
Rfam family: Bacterial small subunit ribosomal RNA
Source: RNAcentral